UACAGAGGGGGCAAGCGUUGUUCGGAAUUACUGGGCGUAAAGGGCGCGUAGGCGGCCUGCUAAGUCGAACGUGAAAUCCCCGGGCUCAACCCGGGAACUGCGUCCGAUACUGGCAGGCUUGAAUCCGGGAGAGGGAUGUGGAAUUCCAGGUGUAGCGGUGAAAUGCGUAGAUAUCUGGAGGAACACCGGUGGCGAAGGCGGCAUCCUGGACCGACACUGACACUGAGGAGCGAAAGCCAGGGGAGCGAACAGG
Molecule: ribosomal RNA, 253 nt
Filed under: uncultured bacterium
Lineage: Bacteria
Description: partial 16S ribosomal RNA
Rfam family: Bacterial small subunit ribosomal RNA
Source: RNAcentral